AAUCAACGCUGGCGGCGUGCCCCAGACAUGCAAGUCGAACGAUUAAACUUUCCUUCGGGAAGAUAUAAAGUGGCGCACGGGUGAGUAACACGUAGGUAAUGUACCUUUGGGUGGGGAAUAACCAUCGGAAACGAUGGCUAAUACCGCAUAAUGCAGCGGCAUCGCAAGAUGACAGUUGUUAAAGAUUUAUCGCCUAAAGAGCAGCCUGCGGCAGAUUAGGUAGUUGGAAGGUAAUGGCUUACCAAGCCUGCGAUCUGUAACCGACCUGAGAGGGUGGUCGGUCGACACUGACACUGAAUAACGGGUCAGACUCC
RNAcentral lists this ribosomal RNA (314 nucleotides) under uncultured bacterium. RNAcentral describes it as "bacterial SSU rRNA". It matches the Rfam family "Bacterial small subunit ribosomal RNA", at positions 32 to 339 of the family's 1533-position model. The record is from RNAcentral.